AAAAAUGUUCUAAGUCACUUCUGGUAAUACUCGUAAAGAUUACAAGCACUAAAUAUUCAUUUAUCUAGUCAAUGGCUAAUUAUAAGCUUUAUCAAACUAAUAGGAGGAUUCAAGCGUGAGAAUGAAUUCUUAUUUUUCAAACUUAUAAUCGAAUUUAAGUUUGUUCUAAAAAUUAAGACCAUGGUUUAUAAUAAUUUAGCAUCCUAGGCUUACACUAUUCUCUAAUGACCACUCCGUUUGGUCCCAC
This 247-nucleotide long non-coding RNA is filed under the name Spirodela polyrhiza (greater duckweed). RNAcentral describes it as "long non-coding RNA (SPOL_LNC002055)". Lineage: Eukaryota; Viridiplantae; Streptophyta; Magnoliopsida; Alismatales; Araceae. The record is from RNAcentral.